This 603-nucleotide ribosomal RNA is filed under the name uncultured archaeon. Its description in RNAcentral is "bacterial SSU rRNA". It matches the Rfam family "Archaeal small subunit ribosomal RNA", at positions 23 to 631 of the family's 1478-position model. The record is from RNAcentral.
GUUACUGCUAUCGAGGUUCGACUAAGCCAUGCGAGUCGAAUGUAGCAAUACAUGGCGAACUGCUCAGUAACACGUGGACAACCUGCCCUUAGGUUGGGUAUAAACCCGGGAAACUGGGUAUAAUACCCGAUAGGUCUCGAUUGCUGGAAUGCAUCGAGAUUUAAAGCUCCGGCGCCUAAGGAUGGGUCUGCGGCCUAUCAGGUAGUAGUGGGUGUAGCGUACCUACUAGCCUACGACGGGUACGGGUUGUGAGAGCAAGAGCCCGGAGAUGGAUUCUGAGACACGAAUCCAGGCCCUACGGGGUGCAGCAGGCGCGAAAACUUUACAAUGCUGGCAACAGCGAUAAGGGAACCUCGAGUGCCAGGUUACAAAUCUGGCUGUCGAGAUGCCUAAAAAGCAUUUCAUAGCAAGGGCCGGGCAAGACCGGUGCCAGCCGCCGCGGUAACACCGGCGGCUCGAGUGGUAACCGUUAUUAUUGGGUCUAAAGGGUCUGUAGCCGGCCGGAUAAGUCUCUUGAGAAAUCUGGCAGCUUAACUGUCAGGCUUUCAGGAGAUACUGUCUGGCUCGAGGCCGGGAGAGGUGAGAGGUACUUCAGGGGUAGGG